Molecule: long non-coding RNA, 1496 nt
Organism: Bombyx mori (domestic silkworm)
Lineage: Eukaryota; Metazoa; Arthropoda; Insecta; Lepidoptera; Bombycidae
Exons: 3
Source: RefSeq, a predicted model, not a curated record
GAAACUCUGAAAUAAAUAGGUGUGUAAAAAAUCAAAAUAAACAUUUAUAAGAUUCAAAGUCCAUACAAUACUUAUGAACAUUAAAUCGUAGCCAAAAUUUAUCAUGACCAUUCUAUUCUAUAACAGCAUUAUUUUAGUUUUAUUUAUUAAUUCGUUUAAAAAUUCAAUUUGAUUAAUUUGGUUAUUAUAAAUAUCAUUGGCUAAAUUUUGUUAUCAGAAAAAGAAAAAAUGAAGACCUUUAGGAACAUACAGAAUCCAAAAAUUAAACAAGAAUAAUCCAAAAAACUUAAAUGUUUCUUAAAGUGCACCCUUUUUAUUCAAAUACAAUGCAAAGGUGUUUAGGUUAUUGUAUUUUUUGGUAAUAAGAUUGUAUUUUUUGGUAAUAAGAAGAAAACUACAUAUUUUUUUUAUUUGUUUUCAACCUAUAAUUACUGUAAUUUUGCAAUGAUCAUUUUAUUUAAUUAACAAAAUAAAAACAGAAUAUUUGUAUAAUUUUUUUUUAAAUCCAAUUGUGCAAUGUUUUUGAAAACAGUUUUUAUGGAAACUUAUAAGAUAUUUUCCAUAGACAAUGUAUUUUUUGGCAAACUUUAUGAUAAGCCCUGUUGCUGUUUAUCACUGGUUGGAGAUUUUUUUUUUUGUUAAGUUUGUGAUAAAAGUGUGACACACAAAGUUUUAGAUUCUCAUAAAUUCAAUUUUAAUUACGAUGAUAUUGUUAUUAAUUAAUAACAUUACGAUUAAACUGAAAUUCUUGGAAAGUCACGUUAUUUGUAUCAAUCGUGGAAUGUUAACAUGUGCGAAUGACAAAUUAGCAACAUUUGCGGGUUGCGAUUAGGAUGGAAUACACCGCGGCGAACGAAACGGCCAAGUGUAGGAUUUUACUACAAAAACACACAGCUAGUUAUACAAUAUUUAUGGGUCAAACUGUACACGGAAUACAUUUUUCAGGCGUUCGUGGCACAGCACGGCCGCGACGGCCGGCCGUCGUCCUGUCAACCCACCAAUGUGUCCAUUUUGUAUCCAACUUGAACCUCGCGAUACUCCGCAGAAUACAAUACAUUCUCCAUGUUUUGUAAAGCCGUACUCCGCUUUCAUUGGCUGCCGCCACGAAAUUUGGCGACACGACUCACUUCCUGUUCUGUGAAAAUUAAAAAUAAUUUUCAUUGAAUUUUAUUAGUGGACACCCCGAAAUGACAAUCCAAACAGCCCUCUUUUGUAUGGAGUCAAAUGGAAGUUUGGAACCCCAAGUCCAAGCAGUACAUCGUUUCGCUUCGUUCUGUUUUGGAUUGCCAGCAUUUUUGACGCCUACGCGACUUUUCCCUCGUAGCACAGACUCUGCCUCGAUGUUGAUUUCGCGUGGAAUAUUUUGACUGUUCCCGCUCUCUUCUAUUGUACUAAAUUUCUCAGACAUGAAGACUAACAAAAAUAUUGGCUAUCUAAGUUUGUACACUGUUUAAAUAAGUUGUAAGAUCUAAUAUUAAUAAAUAAAUUAACGAUAA